This is a long non-coding RNA of Passer domesticus (house sparrow), 5666 nucleotides long. RefSeq lists it as uncharacterized. NCBI's taxonomy places the organism in Eukaryota, Metazoa, Chordata, Aves, Passeriformes, Passeridae. The transcript is spliced from 3 exons. The record is from RefSeq and is a predicted model, not a curated record.
UCCUUGGGGGUGGGUUCGGCACCCAGCGCCCUUGCAGUGGGGAGAAUGGGGCUGCGGGAUCUGUGGCAGGGGCGUCGCUGCUUUUGCAGGGAUCCUCAGCGGUUUGCGGAGCUUGUCAGCCUUUCCCUUCAGGCUCAUCAGGCCAGAGACAGCCCCUGCUCCUGGACCAUUUCCCUUGGGAAUCGGCUCAAGAGUCGUGGCAGCAUCACUUGUGCGCCUGGACUGCAGAAAGGAGAAAUGGAGCAGGCUGUGGAGAAUGGAAGAAUCAAGAUUUUGUUCCAAGGAAAGUGAAGGAGGAAAACCAAAAUUCUGCCAACAGAAAACCAGUGUUUGUCCUCUGUCACUUUCAUUGCCAUCCCACCUAGUACAGUGGAAUCCCAAAGGGAAACAGAAGUAACCAGAAGGGCAAAAAUAAUGCAACAACAAUGUGACUGGGAUGACUGCUAUGCUGGCUAACACCAGAGACCAAACUGGGGAACCUCCAGAGCUUAAAAGCACAGCCCCUUUUAUAACCUGAGCUGAGGCAAGAGGUCUGCAAGACACCUGUAAGCUCUAGGGACUGGGAAGGCAGAGGGAGGGGUAGGCUACAGCUGGCUCCUCAGUUACAUGAGCUCGCUCUGGAAAUUAACUCUUUCCAAGUGUCUCGGCUUUACAGCAUUGCAAAUCCUGUGCAAGUCACUACCUAAGUGAUAACAGUAUCUUACUGGCCAUACCAGAAACUGGAUUUAGUCCUAAGCCUGAGGAAGACUAAUCCUGAACUCAAGUUAAUCUUAGAUUCUCUGCAGAUGUUACUGGCAAGUUUACCGGGCUUGUUCUACAUUAAGGAUUCUGUCAUGGUUACAAGGUUAAUGGCAUUCCUGGCUGUUCCUGAUGUCAAGCUCUUGGACGAACUGGGUAGUCAUUCUCCUGUGCCUCAUCUGGAAUCCCCUGUGCAGAAAAAGAGCUGUCCUGCAACAGGUCUUCCUCAGAGUUCAUUGAAAAUACAGAGAUGGGAGAGGCAGGCCUGUAGUCCAUUGUCUUCUUCAGGAUCACUGGUACAGAAAUGAUUAAUGGAUGACAUUAGUCCACAUCUCUCCUUGACAAUCUUGGGCUAUGGGAGAUUCCACAGAGUCUUGGUACAUGACCAAGCUCUCCCUUACUUUUUAAGUAUAUUUUCUAACAAGCAGCCUGUGUAUUCUUUGCUGCAGGUUAAGGUUCCAUAGGGUGUGUUGGUGAUUUCCUGCAAACCUCCUCUCUUAUUCAUGCCUUUAAAUCCUGUUUUUGUGCUGGAGGUUAUUCAAUUGUGUAAAAUCCCAUGCAUACCCCUUGUCUAAUGCUUUCCUUCCUCAGACCAUUUCUACAGCCUGUUAAGGUCAUUCUGAGUCCUGACCUUGACAGGUAUGUACGUGCAGCCCCGUGCAGCUUAGUGCUAGCAAAUUUAGUAAGCAUAAUCUCUCUUCCAUCAAGCAAUCUGUAGUGAAAAAAAUGCAUAGAAGCAAGCCAAGGACAAGACAUACAGAACAGUUUUGGAGAAACAACAGUGGCAAAUAACUGAAGGCAGAUGAUAUGAUUCUCAAAGCUAAUACUUUUUGGUUUUGCACUAAGUUCCGAGAUCUGGGAAAUUCCUAUUUUAAUUAAAGGUAUUUUAAAAUAUUUUUUAAUAAUGUUUUCACUAGCUGUUGUACCAGUUGGAUCUCAAUCUCAAGGUUACAUUUCACCAUUCUGAAAUUAUUUCACAGAACAGAGUGGCUCUACCACAGCCUUGAUUAGCCCAUGGGUCACUUCCAGACAGGUGGCUUAUCUCUCACUGAGAGGGCUGCACUGCACUGGCUCCAGGGCUGGCUGUGCCAGCCAGGCAUCACGCUGCCUUCACCAGCUAGAACAUGGGCAACUGCUCUCACAGUGAGAAUCAGUGGUAGAAAACAUAGGAUCUUCCCAGUAAGGUGGGAAAUGUGCUGCUGUGUAAACUUUGGCAGCGUUUAGCCCCAAGAUAUCGAGUCUGAUCUGGGGAGGAGGCUCCACUGUGAUGAGUUCUGGCACAUAAGUUUCACAGACCCAGCUGAUACCUGCUCAUUUAGAGAAUAAAUAAAACAGGAUUUAAGAAUUAGUAUGCCUUUUUUUUUUCUGGAUGGUGAUGUCAGGCCUUAAGAAAGGUAUCUGAUAUAAUUACUUGUAGAAAACUACAGACAGAUAAGCAGCUUCCUGCUUUGUCCAUCUCUUCCUACUCCCAACUUGACAUUGAAAAAAUACACAGCUGAGGACCCUUGUGGGAGGUGACACAAAGCAGGAGUCUGACCUUCUGUUUAUAUUUCACCUGUGUAAUUUAUUCACUCUGUAAGCAAUUGUCUUGAGUGUCCUGAGCCACAGUAGUAAAAGAGGAGCAAAGUUCCAUCCAUUCCUCAACAAAUUUCUCAAGAGACUGGGAGACCUUCAGUAGACUGACUGAUCUCACAGCCUCCUGAGCAGGUCAAGGCCAUACCAUCAGAUCAACAACUUGAGGAACCACAGAGCUUGUCCCAAGCCAGUGGCCAAAUGUUCUGGCAGUCCUAAAAGUAACAUUGGCCACUGGGCCCUUCUGUAGGUGGUGAGAAGGAAAAGAUGCCGAUGACGCACAUCUCAGCCCAGAUACGUGUGAGCUGUCGUGCUUAUCGUUACCAUUGUUCAUUUGCUGCAAAGCAGGUGUUAGCUCAGAAAAAAACCCAUAAAAGCUGCAUUCUGGAUUGUUUGUUCCUCGUUAAAAUGAUCUGGGCCCCCGUGGGCAUGUGUUGUCUUAAUAUUCUGGUGCUGAGAAGUGCCGCGUUUUCAUAAUGAAAGCUGUUGCAGGAAAGCAAUUCCGACCUCAGAUAAAGGGAGAAGAUUACACUUGCCACUCGAGUUAUGGUAUUAGAACAACUGAUUUUAUUUGUUUUCAUUUUCCCUGUCAGCUGCUGCUGAACCUCUAUGCAAUGUUCUUCAGAGAUGUUAAUUGUAUUUUGUGUGUCUGGAUCCCCCUAAGAAGUGACAAACAUUUUCAGUCACAAAUUGGAUGUCUCUUUUCAUUUAAACAUCAACUAGGAAAACUAAUUUAAGAAUGGUGAAGCUGUUGUUCCAGCAAGGGCCCUAAUAUGUGAUAGAAGCUGACAGAUAGAUUUAGGGAUGUAAAGCAACAAAUUUCGGUGUUGGGAAUGUAAAUCUAUAAGAUAUUCACUUAAUUUUUCUCUCAGCUGGGUCAUGACUGAAGAAAAAGAACCACAUGUAUGCAGUAGGACAAAAUAAUAAAGUAACUUCAUUCAGUUUUCAGGGGUAGAGUCACAUAACUUAGGUCCAGCGCUGAAGUGGACAGAGCAAUUUUUGGACAAAGUUCCUGGAGACACCUAUGGAUGCCUUUGCUUUAAAAAAGACUGGAUUGCUUUUUUAAAAGUCUUGAGUGAAAAGGAGAAAAUAACAGAUAAAUAACAUGCAAAGAGAUGAGGAGAACAUUGAGUACAUGGAUCUGUGCAAAGUGGGAUGAGGGAAUAAAUUGCGGGUCCUCCAAACAGCUGAGCUGCUGAGUGGAAAUGGAAGAUGACCAGAAGCUACACUUCUGACAGAGGUGCCUAGGCAAAUCCCCUAACAUGACCCAAGGCUUGUGAGGCUUGCACCUGAGUACAGUACAGUCUGAGUUCCCUAGAUCUGGGAACUCAGCACCAGGCUUGACUCUGUCAGCAACACAAACAAGUAUUUUAAGAAGAGCUGCCCUCCCCUUACUGGGAGAAUUCACAGUGCUGAGCAAAGAUGAAAUGAAGGUGCUCAGCAGGUAUUAAUGAUUCUCUCAGAUGCCCUGGAGAAAAAAGACCCCAGCAGAGCACAUAUCCCUCUCCCAGGCACCUCUCCCUUCCUACCCUCUGAUUCUGUAUGGUUAGAUGACAUGUGGUAAAAGAGCACGUGAACAUCAGGAAGGCAGUGGAAUAUUUUCCUUUUGUUUGCAAGUCAGUGUCCAACACGGGUUUCAGAGCUGGAGUUCUCCUCCCAUGAGUUCAGGGUCUGUUGCUCAUGGUUCUGUUUCAAGCUAGUCUGGGUGUGCUCCAAGCAGAGGGAGCUUUGCAGCAUUUAGGCAGCAGACACUUUCUGACAGGUAUUGUGCUCUCCUGUGAAAUGUGCAACAGUCCUUGACCAGAGUCAGUCACUGUGUUCUUCGGUAAAUGCUUGAAGGUGACUCCAAAUGCAUGUCUAAGUGACAUUUCUCUUGUCUUGGUGCUCAAGAGAAAAGAAACCAUCCUGUAGUUGCUGGAGCAAGACUGUCAGCUGCUGUGCAUCCUAUCAGACCAUGGCCUCAGCUUACACAUUAUGGGAUGGGCUUUCUUAUCUCUAGGUUGGGCAAAGCAAAUUUCCAGCCUCAUAGUCCUUUGUCUUUCCCUGUGGCUCCAAUAACUUCUCAAACAGGAAGUUCAAAGGACCUUAAAGCAACCUUGAUCCUCCUUUUUGGUUGAUGCCAGGUACAGCAUAAACCCUUGUGGAGAACAGUUGCCUGUUAACAGAGAAAUUACUGUGACCAGCAAGGAGGCUGAGGGGACAGGGACUGCCACACUGAAAAAUCUUUCUGGAGCAGCUGCAUGUUCAGCCCAUGACAUGAAGGAGUCACUAAGAGCUUCCUUAUUUAUUUUCUAAUUUUCUAUUUCAGGCAAUAGGCAGAACUGCAAGAAAGCUAAUUCUGAGGGGAGGUGGCUCUGCCUUCAUCCCUCAGGGUAUAACUCAUCAGGUACAAAAAGCACACAGCAUCUCCCAGAACUUCCUGUGGACUGUAAGUCAGGUUCUGGAAAUUUCACCUGUGCUAAGCAUCAUCUUCCUCCACAAGUGGUCCUCCUGCAAUCAGUGCAGUAGGUUCCUACCUGAGUGAGGAAGUCAGACAACAGCUGGUCCUCAAGAGCUGUGAGUUAAAAGUGUAGCAAGCAAGCUGAUUUCCAUAAAAAUGGAAAUGAGUCAGAGAGGGGAGAACUAUAUUUGAGUGCAAAUGCAAGCAAUUAGCUCAAAGCCAUUACUGUAAUGGCUAGAAAGACUUUUUUUUUAAUUAUCAUUACUGAAAUGCAUUAGCAAUAUCUUUUUUUAAAAAUGUAAGUAUACACAGUACAAUCCCAUCUAUCUGCCAGAGCAUGAAGUAACCCCAUUUCAGUGGUACGUGCAGAGGAGUCUGUGGAAACUCUUAAGUACAAACAGAACUUUACACAGGAAUAUGAAUGAAGGCAUUACCGGGGAGAACUUGAGAAAGGCAGCUGUGAUUAGUACCAACACAAAUAUUUGCUCAAAUAGGAAGCUGGACUUUCAGAACAAUUUCUAAGAACACCUGCCUGGCCUUGAGCUGUGCUGAUGCUCCUCUUCCCCAGAGCACUGCUUUUCUCUCCUUCCCCAGCAGAGACUUUGGAGGAUGCCUGGCUCAGGUACAGAGCUCACAGGUCCCAUCACAGGACGUGGCAGCACAGGGGACAUUCAGGAUCCUGCUGGUGUGGAUGCUAGCCGGCCAGGGAGAGAGAAACUGCAAUCGUUUCUCACAGUGGCUUGUGAGAUUUUUUAGGGAAUUGUGAGAAUGUGAUAAGUUGUUCGUAGGUGGUGUUUUUCCACCUUGUUUUCCUGUUCUUCUCAAGGAUGGUGUGUGAGAAAGAUGUUUUUUAUUAAGUAGCCAAUCGAGUGGAAUGCAUCAUACCAGUCUAUAAAAACUGAAGAUUCUUUUGUAA